Molecule: ribosomal RNA, 314 nt
Filed under: uncultured bacterium
Lineage: Bacteria
Description: bacterial SSU rRNA
Rfam family: Bacterial small subunit ribosomal RNA
Source: RNAcentral
CCUGAACGCUGGCGGCGUGGCUAAGACAUGCAAGUCGAACGGGUGUAGCAAUACACCAGUGGCGGACGGGUGAGUAAUGUAUCGCUAACGUGCCCUGGAAUCUGAGAUAGCCAAUCGAAAGGUUGGGUAAUACCAGAUGAAAUAUCCUUAUCGCAUGAUGAGGAUCUCAAAGGAGCAAUCCGGUCUGGGAGCGGGCGAUAUCGUAUCAGCUAGUUGGUGAGGUAACGGCUCACCAAGGCGACGACGCGUAGCCGGGCUGAGAGGUCGGCCGGCCACAUUGGGACUGAGACACUGCCCAGACUCCUACGGGGGGC